GAGAGGAGAGGAGAGGAGAGGGUUGUUCUCUAGGAGAGGAGAGGGGUGUUCUGGAGGAAAACCAGUGUGUAAUCUGGGGGGCCUGAAGGCAUGCUUCUGUUACCUGAGGCUGAGGUGUCGCAAGACCAGCCUGUGUGUGCCGGUACUUUGACACACAAACACAAACACUACGAGUGGAGACGAGGAGGAUUCUGGGAUGUGGACGAGACAGUGAAUCACAGAAAAGGUAAGGGAAAAGAGGACGUUUCUGAACUCAGACAUCAUCACAACUCCCAACAGCCGCUUUCUCUACCAUCUCUUCGUUUUAUUGUCUUUCGUCCUCCUUCUCUACCAUCUCUUUCUCCCUACUUUUCCCUCUCUCCUCCUCCUCCUCCUCCUCCCCACUCUCACCCAUCUCUUCUAUUUCCCCCCUCUCUUUCCCUCCUUCCCUCUCUUUCUCUCGUUCUCCCUGUCGUCCUAAAGCAG
This 465-nucleotide long non-coding RNA is filed under the name Salmo salar (Atlantic salmon). RNAcentral describes it as "lncRNA (ENSSSAG00000093062.1, ENSSSAG00000105447.1)". The record is from RNAcentral. Lineage: Eukaryota; Metazoa; Chordata; Actinopteri; Salmoniformes; Salmonidae.